UGGGGAAUCUUGCACAAUGGGGGAAACCCUGAUGCAGCGACGCCGCGUGAGCGAUGAAGCCCUUCGGGGUGUAAAGCUCUUUCGGCAGGGAAGAUAAUGACGGUACCUGCAGAAGCAGCUGCGGCUAACUACGUGCCAGCAGCCGCGGUAAUACGUAGGCAGCAAGCGUUGUUCGGAGUUACUGGGCGUAAAGGGUGUGUAGGUGGUUGUCUAAGUUUGGUGUGAAAUCUCCCGGCUUAACCGGGAGGGUGCGCCGAAAACUGGGUGACUAGAGUGCAGGAUGGGAGAGUGGAAUUCCUGGUGUAGCGGUGAAAUGCGUAGAUAUCAGGAGGAACACCGGCGGUGUAGACGGCUCUCUGGACUGUAACUGACACUGAAACACGAAAGCGUGGGUAGCAAACAG
This 403-nucleotide ribosomal RNA is filed under the name uncultured bacterium. Its description in RNAcentral is "bacterial SSU rRNA". It matches the Rfam family "Bacterial small subunit ribosomal RNA", at positions 355 to 775 of the family's 1533-position model. The record is from RNAcentral.